GUCGAGGGGUAACAGGGGUUGCUUGCAACCCGCUGACGACCGGCGCACGGGUGCGUAACGCGUAUGCAACCUACCUUCUACAGGGGGAUAGUCAAUAGAAAUGUUGAAUAAUACCCCAUACGAUCAUUAAUCUGCAUGGAUUUAUGAGGAAAGUUCCGGCGGUAGAAGAUGGGCAUGCGUCCUAUUAGUUAGUUGGUAAGGUAACGGCUUACCAAGACGUCGAUAGGUAGGGGUCCUGAGAGGGAGAUCCCCCACACUGGUACUGAGACACGGACCAGACUCCUACGGGAGGCAGCAGUGAGGAAUAUUGGACAAUGGAGGCAACUCUGAUCCAGCCAUGCCGCGUGCAGGAAGACGGCCCUAUGGGUUGUAAACUGCUUUUAUACAGGAAGAAUUGUACCUACGUGUAGGUAUUUGACGGUACUGUACGAAUAAGGAUCGGCUAACUCCGUGCCAGCAGCCGCGGUAAUACGGAGGAUCCAAGCGUUAUCCGGAAUCAUUGGGUUUAAAGGGUCCGUAGGCGGUCUGAUAAGUCAGAGGUGAAAUCCUGCAGCUCAACUGUAGCAUUGCCUUUGAUACUGUUAGACUUGAGUUAUUGUGAAGUAGUUAGAAUGUGUGGUGUAGCGGUGAAAUGCAUAGAUAUCACACAGAAUACCGAUUGCGAAGGCAGA
Molecule: ribosomal RNA, 671 nt
Filed under: uncultured Flavobacteriaceae bacterium
Lineage: Bacteria; Pseudomonadati; Bacteroidota; Flavobacteriia; Flavobacteriales; Flavobacteriaceae
Description: bacterial SSU rRNA
Rfam family: Bacterial small subunit ribosomal RNA
Source: RNAcentral